GAUGAACGCUGGCGGCGUGCCUAAUACAUGCAAGUCGAGCGAACAGACGAGGAGCUUGCUCCUCUGACGUUAGCGGCGGACGGGUGAGUAACACGUGGAUAACCUACCUAUAAGACUGGGAUAACUUCGGGAAACCGGAGCUAAUACCGGAUAAUAUAUUGAACCGCAUGGUUCAAUAGUGAAAGACGGUUUUGCUGUCACUUAUAGAUGGAUCCGCGCCGCAUUAGCUAGUUGGUAAGGUAACGGCUUACCAAGGCAACGAUUCGUAGCCGACCUGAGAGGGUUAUCGGCCACACUGGAACUGAGACACGGUCCAGACUCCUACGGGAGGCAGCAGUAGGGAAUCUUCCGCAAUGGGCGAAAGCCUGACGGAGCAACGCCGCGUGAGUGAUGAAGGUCUUCGGAUCGUAAAACUCUGUUAUUAGGGAAGAACAAAUGUGUAAGUAACUAUGCACGUCUUGACGGUACCUAAUCAGAAAGCCACGGCUAACUACGUG
RNAcentral lists this ribosomal RNA (497 nucleotides) under uncultured bacterium. Its description in RNAcentral is "partial 16S ribosomal RNA". It matches the Rfam family "Bacterial small subunit ribosomal RNA", at positions 28 to 507 of the family's 1533-position model. The record is from RNAcentral.